Molecule: long non-coding RNA, 227 nt
Organism: Protopterus annectens (West African lungfish)
Lineage: Eukaryota; Metazoa; Chordata; Ceratodontiformes; Protopteridae
Exons: 2
Source: RefSeq, a predicted model, not a curated record
GACCUCGAUAUUUACCGCGUGCUGGCGCAUGCACUCACCUCCUACUGACGUGCUCGUUCCCAUACAGCAUGUGUUCCUGUUUUGUUGCGUCAGGCGCAUUCGGUAGUGGGUUGUGGGCUUGUGGACAGUAAAAUGGAAGAUGAUGAUGUUGCAGAUAGUUGGGAAGACGCGGCUGAUAAUGGGGAAAUAGACAGAAGACUAGAAGCAAAGCUGAAGAUUGUACAAAA